This 301-nucleotide ribosomal RNA is filed under the name uncultured bacterium. RNAcentral's name for it is "partial 16S ribosomal RNA". It matches the Rfam family "Bacterial small subunit ribosomal RNA", at positions 509 to 807 of the family's 1533-position model. The record is from RNAcentral.
CAGUAGCCGCGGGAAUACGAAGGGUGCAAGCGUUACUCGGAAUUACUGGGCGUAAAGCGUGCGUAGGUGGUGGUUUAAGUCCGUUGUGAAAGCCCUUGGCUCAACCUGGGAAUUGCAGUGGAUACUGGGUCACUAGAGUGUGGUAGAGGAUAGUGGAAUUUCCGGUGUAGCAGUGAAAUGCGUAGAGAUCGGAAGGAACAUCUGUGGCGAAGGCGACUAUCUGGGCCAACACUGACACUGAGGCACGAAAGCGUGGGGAGCAAACAGGAUUAGAUACCCCGGUAGUCCCUGUCUCUUAUAC